GGAGAGGUGGCCGAGUGGCUGAAGGCGCUCCCCUGCUAAGGGAGUAUGGGUUUAUACUCAUCGAGGGUUCGAAUCCCUCUCUCUCCGACA
RNAcentral lists this transfer RNA (90 nucleotides) under Gammaproteobacteria bacterium. RNAcentral's name for it is "tRNA-Ser". It matches the Rfam family "tRNA". Rfam says of the family: Transfer RNA (tRNA) molecules are approximately 80 nucleotides in length. Their secondary structure includes four short double-helical elements and three loops (D, anti-codon, and T loops). Further hydrogen bonds mediate the characteristic L-shaped molecular structure. tRNAs have two regions of fundamental functional importance: the anti-codon, which is responsible for specific mRNA codon recognition, and the 3' end, to which the tRNAs corresponding amino acid is attached (by aminoacyl-tRNA synthetases). tRNAs cope with the degeneracy of the genetic code in two manners: having more than one tRNA (with a specific anti-codon) for a particular amino acid; and 'wobble' base-pairing, i.e. permitting non-standard base-pairing at the 3rd anti-codon position. RNAcentral also lists the same sequence under 1 other name. Lineage: Bacteria; Pseudomonadati; Pseudomonadota; Gammaproteobacteria. The record is from RNAcentral.